AACGAACGCUGGCGGCAGGCCUAACACAUUGCAAGUCGAGCGAGACCUUCGGGUCUAGCGGCGGACGGGUGAGUAACGCGUGGGAAUAUGCCCUUCGGUUCGGAAUAGCCCCGGGAAACUGGGAGUAAUACCGGAUACGGUCUACGGACGAAAGAUUUAUCGCCGAAGGAUUAGCCCGCGUUGGAUUAGGUAGUUGGUGGGGUAAUGGCCUACCAAGCCGACGAUCCAUAGCUGGUUUGAGAGGAUGAUCAGCCACACUGGGACUGAGACACGGCCCAGACUCCUACGGGAGGCAGCAGUGGGGAAUCUUAGACAAUGGGGGAAACCCUGAUCUAGCCAUGCCGCGUGAGCGAUGAAGGCCUUAGGGUUGUAAAGCUCUUUCAGCUGGGAAGAUAAUGACUGUACCAGCAGAAGAAGCCCCGGCUAACUCCGUG
This 434-nucleotide ribosomal RNA is filed under the name uncultured bacterium. RNAcentral describes it as "bacterial SSU rRNA". It matches the Rfam family "Bacterial small subunit ribosomal RNA", at positions 29 to 507 of the family's 1533-position model. The record is from RNAcentral.